This 484-nucleotide ribosomal RNA is filed under the name uncultured bacterium. RNAcentral's name for it is "partial 16S ribosomal RNA". It matches the Rfam family "Bacterial small subunit ribosomal RNA", at positions 30 to 507 of the family's 1533-position model. The record is from RNAcentral.
AUUGAACGCUGGCGGCAGGCCUAACACAUGCAAGUCGAGCGGAUGAAGGGAGCUUGCUCCUGGAUUCAGCGGCGGACGGGUGAGUAAUGCCUAGGAAUCUGCCUGGUAGUGGGGGAUAACGUCCCGAAACGGGCGCUAAUACCGCAUACGUCCUGAGUGAUAAAGAGGGGGAUCUUCGGACCUCACGCUAUCAGAUGAGCCUAGGUCGGAUUAGCUAGUUGGUGGGGUAAAGGCCUACCAAGGCGACGAUCCGUAACUGGUCUGAGAGGAUGAUCAGUCACACUGGAACUGGGACACGGUCCAGACUCCUACGGGAGGCAGCAGUGGGGAAUAUUGGACAAUGGGCGAAAGCCUGAUCCAGCCAUGCCGCGUGUGUGAAGAAGGUCUUCGGAUUGUAAAGCACUUUAAGUUGGGAGGAAGGGCAGUAAGUUAAUACCUUGCUGUUUUGACGUUACCAACAGAAUAAGCACCGGCUAACUUCGUG